This 274-nucleotide ribosomal RNA is filed under the name uncultured bacterium. Its description in RNAcentral is "partial 16S ribosomal RNA". It matches the Rfam family "Archaeal small subunit ribosomal RNA", at positions 473 to 747 of the family's 1478-position model. The record is from RNAcentral.
AAACCAGCACCUCAAGUGGUCAGUAUGAUUAUUGGGCCUAAAGCAUCCGUAGCCGGCCCAGUAAGUUUUCGGGUAAAUCUGUACGCUCAACGUACAGGCUGCCGGGAAUACUGCAGGGCUAGGGAGUGGGAGAGGUAGACGGUACUCGGGAGGAAGUGGUAAAAUGCUUUGAUCUUUCGAUGACCACCUGUGGCGAAGGCGGUCUACCAGAACACGUCCGACGGUGAGGGAUGAAAGCUGGGGGAGCAAACCGGAUUAGAAACCCCUGUAGUCC